CAAAGAGCAGUCGAUUGGAGAAGCAUUGAUUCCAGGGCAAAAGGGGGCUCUCGGGCAAAACGCGGCUGAAACCGCCUGACGCACGUCACAUCAAGUGACAGUUGUCAGCCCCUACACCCCCAAAAACCCUAAAAACCUCUACCCACGACGUCACACCCUAACUAUCCAACUUCCCAUAAUCACCAACCCCUUUCUCGGCCUUUCGAAUACAAAACCACCACCAGCCGCCAUGGUCUCCACCAGACCCAAAAACAAACUCCGAGGAAUACCCCAAGGAACAGAAAUCGAUCUCACCGGAGAAAGCCCCCC
RNAcentral lists this long non-coding RNA (309 nucleotides) under Salvia miltiorrhiza (redroot sage). Its description in RNAcentral is "long non-coding RNA (SMIL_LNC012365)". Lineage: Eukaryota; Viridiplantae; Streptophyta; Magnoliopsida; Lamiales; Lamiaceae. The record is from RNAcentral.